CUUGGUGGCAUUUCCAGCGGGGACACACCCGUUCCCUUCCCGAACACGGAAGUUAAGCCCGUUUGGGCCGAUGGUAGCCAAGUGUGGCGAGAGUAGGUGGCCGCCAGGA
This 109-nucleotide ribosomal RNA is filed under the name Patescibacteria group bacterium. The record is from RNAcentral.